GAUGAACGCUGGCGGCGUGCCUAAUACAUGCAAGUCGAGCGAACAGACGAGGAGCUUGCUCCUCUGACGUUAGCGGCGGACGGGUGAGUAACACGUGGAUAACCUACCUAUAAGACUGGGAUAACUUCGGGAAACCGGAGCUAAUACCGGAUAAUAUAUUGAACCGCAUGGUUCAAUAGUGAAAGACGGUUUUGCUGUCACUUUAGAUGGAUCCGCGCCGCAUUAGCUAGUUGGUAAGGUAACGGCUUACCAAGGCAACGAUGCGUAGCCGACCUGAGAGGGUGAUCGGCCACACUGGAACUGAGACACGGUCCAGACUCCUACGGGAGGCAGCAGUAGGGAAUCUUCCGCAAUGGGCGAAAGCUUGACGGAGCAACGCCGCGUGAGUGAUGAAGGUCUUCGGAUCGUAAAACUCUGUUAUUAGGGAAGAACAAAUGUGUAAGUAACUAUGCACGUCUUGACGGUACCUAAUCAGAAAGCCACGGCUAACUACGUG
RNAcentral lists this ribosomal RNA (496 nucleotides) under uncultured bacterium. Its description in RNAcentral is "partial 16S ribosomal RNA". It matches the Rfam family "Bacterial small subunit ribosomal RNA", at positions 28 to 507 of the family's 1533-position model. The record is from RNAcentral.